CUUUUGGAAAAAUAUCCCUAGCGCCUCUUCAGAAAACAUUUUCAAAGAAAAUGGACCAGAGAGAAUACAGGGAGUACAUGAGGGAGGAACCUCAUUUCCACCCGGAGAAAAACAUCCUGAAUGGGGUAGACGUGCACAAAAAUGGAAGGAUGCGAGGACAGAUGUGGAAAGACGCACACUCGCACGUUCCCUCCCCCACCAUUCAGCAACCCGUGCGCAUGCGCUCAGACAGUGUUUGCUCCGAAAGCGAGGUCCCACCGGUCGGAUCCCCUCCAGUCAUGCCACAUCUUGGAUCCGCCUUUGCCUCACAAAUCUCUCCUUCCUCUACGGGCGGCGGAUUUCUCACAAAAGCAUUUCAAGUGGACACUUCUCACAAAGAAAAACACCUUUACCACGAAUUUGACAUCAAAUGGCAGUAGAAGAAUUACUCUUUGAGUGAUUGUACAUCUUUCCCAUUGAUCUCUUACAUUCUCAUUAAUUGUAAACUCUACAAACGAAUUUCGCCUCCAUACCACAAGUUGCACAUGAUGUGCGUCACAUGACCGCCGACAGCUUCAUGAACUUAUGUGUGAUUUUAAUUACAUGUAUGUGAAUAGUAUACAAUAAUGUCUGAAUUAAAAAUAUGUUCAAUAUA
This is a long non-coding RNA of Saccostrea echinata, 634 nucleotides long. RefSeq lists it as uncharacterized. The record is from RefSeq and is a predicted model, not a curated record. The transcript has 2 exons. NCBI's taxonomy places the organism in Eukaryota, Metazoa, Mollusca, Bivalvia, Ostreida, Ostreidae.